GUUAGAGGUAGUACUGGGGCUGGGGUUAGAGGUAGUACUGGGGCUGGGGUUAGAGGUAGUACUGGGGUUAGAGGUAGUACUGGGAUUAGAGGUAGUACUGGGGCUGGGGUUAGAAGUAGUACUGGGGUUAGAGGUAGUACUGGGACUAGAGAUAGUACUAGGGCUGGGGUUAGAGGUAGUACUAGGGCUGGGGUUAGAGGUAGUACUGGGGCUGGGGUUAGAGGUAGUACUGGGGCUGGGGUUAGAGGUAGUACUGGGGUUAGAGGUAGUACUGGGGCUGGGGUUAGAGGUAGUACUGGGGUUAGAGGUAGUACUGGGGUUAGAGGUGGUGCUGGGGUUAGAGGUAGUGCUGGGGUUAGAGGUAGUACUGGGGUUAGAGGUAGUACUGGGGUUAGAGGUAGUACUGGGGUUAGAGGUAGUACUGGGGUUAGAGGUAGUACUGGGGUUAGAGGUGGUACUGGGGUUAGAGGUAGUACUGGUGUUAGAGGUAGUACUGGGGUUAGAGGUAGUGCUGGGGGUUAGAGGUAGUACUGGCGUUAGAGGUAGUACUGGGGUUAGAGGUAGUACUGGGGUUAGAGGUACCUCAUAACAGAUGAAACUCAUCAGACAGACACAGAGACUACACCACGGCCUUGACUCAUGGAAUGAGCUGGAACUAGGAGAUAUACCCGUUACUGACAGUACUGUCCAGCCCCCGCAUGCUCUCUCUCUCACACACACCUCCAUUUUGUUCUCAUUUCCCCAGUGCAGGAUCAGAGGAGAGACCACUGUUGACCACUGACCACCCAUAGAGGGAAGGAGUGAAAGGGAGAGAGAGAAGGAAAGAGAGCGAGUGAUAG
Molecule: long non-coding RNA, 839 nt
Filed under: Salmo salar (Atlantic salmon)
Lineage: Eukaryota; Metazoa; Chordata; Actinopteri; Salmoniformes; Salmonidae
Description: lncRNA (ENSSSAG00000118971.1)
Source: RNAcentral